AUGCCUCGACCAGGAUCGACGACGCCUGCGGCCACCAUGCGCUCUCCUCUCCUCUCCUGGCCCGUGCACGAUUGUUGUUUCGCGAUUCGAUCCACAAGGCCGACAUGGAAACUCGCACAAAUCCCACCGGAAGCUCCACCUGGACUAGAUCAAACACCGGUCACUACCAGGACCAAAGCUGCAGGAACUCCAACUCCAACUCGAACUCGAACUCGAAACAAGAAGAAAGAAAAUAAAACCCGGAAAUUCCUUCAUUCCGUCGGGGUGGCGAAAUCGCCCAUCGACCAUUGGUCUUUCCAUCGAGUUUGA
RNAcentral lists this ribosomal RNA (309 nucleotides) under Triticum aestivum (bread wheat). RNAcentral's name for it is "partial small subunit ribosomal RNA". The record is from RNAcentral. Lineage: Eukaryota; Viridiplantae; Streptophyta; Magnoliopsida; Poales; Poaceae.